Molecule: long non-coding RNA, 301 nt
Filed under: Elaeis guineensis (African oil palm)
Lineage: Eukaryota; Viridiplantae; Streptophyta; Magnoliopsida; Arecales; Arecaceae
Description: long non-coding RNA (EGUI_LNC070390)
Source: RNAcentral
CUCUGAUGGAAUAUAGGUAUAAAUGUCCCUCCGACCUGAGAUCGCUACGGUGACUUGCAAGCAACUCACUGCACUUAGGCACUAGACUACCUGAAUUUCUAAUUCAGUGACGGAAGGCUGCUGGCUGUAGUCAAGUACUUGACUUAUCGAUGCAUGUGUCAAGAUGGGAUUGACCACUCCAGUUUAGAAGAUGUGUACAGUCGUGUUUCAAUUUAGCAAAACCUUGGCCAGGAUAGUCUUUGUGAGGAGUCACAGGACUGUUUGAGUUGAGCACGAUUCGGAUGAUCUAAUCAGGGUUGAC